UACGUAGGGCGCAAGCGUUAUCCGGAAUUAUUGGGCGUAAAGAGCUCGUAGGCGGUUUGUCGCGUCUGCCGUGAAAGUCCGGGGCUCAACUCCGGAUCUGCAGUGGGUACGGGCAGACUAGAGUGUGGUAGGGGAGACUGGAAUUCCUGGUGUAGCGGUGGAAUGCGCAGAUAUCAGGAGGAACACCAAUGGCGAAGGCAGCACUCUGGGACGGUACUGACGCUGAGACGCGAAAGCGUGGGGAGCAAACAGG
Molecule: ribosomal RNA, 253 nt
Filed under: uncultured bacterium
Lineage: Bacteria
Description: partial 16S ribosomal RNA
Rfam family: Bacterial small subunit ribosomal RNA
Source: RNAcentral